Molecule: long non-coding RNA, 548 nt
Filed under: Nicotiana benthamiana
Lineage: Eukaryota; Viridiplantae; Streptophyta; Magnoliopsida; Solanales; Solanaceae
Description: long non-coding RNA (NBEN_LNC007780)
Source: RNAcentral
UUUUGGUCUUGUUAGGGGUACCAUAUCUUUUCUCAAUUUGGGACCAUAUACUCUGUGCAGUAUCGGAAUACUGCACACUAUCAGCAAUCUGAGGAGACACGGAAGAGGUCAACCAGGAAAUGACCAUGUUAUUACAUCUAUCCCACAGCCUCUAUUGAGCCACAUUAGUGGUAGUUCGAGGACAUGAGCCGUCAACAAAUCCGAUUUUGUUUUUAGCAGAUAAUGCAACAUUCAUUUUUCUCCUCCAACCCCCAUAACCACUACCCGAGAAGGGAGUGGGGAAAAGAGAGACCCCAGGGACAUCAGAGGAAUAUACAAAGAGGGGGCUGGUAGAGUCUACCGAGGAGGAGAUACCAGCAGUGGUAUCAGAAGCCAUGAUUAAUGAACCAGCUUGAAAGAAAAACAGUUUCGACAAGCAAAAUAUAACGAAACCAGAUACUCACAUACGGAACCAGAUAAUCACACACAAAGCAUACAAUACUCAAAAUAAGGACAGAGUUACACUCCUUCUUCGCGACCGGAGAAGAUCGGCCUUCAAUCAACAGAGA